RNAcentral lists this long non-coding RNA (600 nucleotides) under Mustela putorius furo (domestic ferret). Its description in RNAcentral is "lncRNA (ENSMPUG00000030243.1)". The record is from RNAcentral. Lineage: Eukaryota; Metazoa; Chordata; Mammalia; Carnivora; Mustelidae.
GGUUAUGCCAUAGGGACCAGAUGUUGAAAAGAGCUUAUCUUACUAAACCACCGGGCGGGGGGGGGGGGGCGCCGCAAACCAAAAGUAUGUAUGGUCUCUGAAGUGAUGGAAAAUUACUGUGAGUUGGAUUUUUUUUUUUUAAAUGCUAUAUAAACCCUUGGCUUUGAGUGCUCGGGGUCCUUGUAGAAGCUUGCUGCGUUGGGCAGAUACUCGGACUCCAGCUAGCUGGAAAUAAACCUCGAUGUGUGACUUGCAUUAUCACUGUGUUCUUUGGAAUGAAGUCAUUAUGCACAGCCCACAUGCAAGGAUUGGAGAGUUAUAAUGCACCUCCUUGGUGUAUGCACUGCCAAGUUUUCUGAAGAGACUGAGAUUUUACCCUAUGUGAUGGCUAUUGAGCUGGCCUAUUAUGGUUUCAUGAAAGCUGGCAGAAGACACGAGAUUUCUGGUCGAAAACAGGACUUUACUCAUGGCACACCAAGAAACUUGAGCUUCUUGUAUCAGUUCUCCAUGUCCCCAAAGUCCCAGAGACAUGAAGCAGGUGGGCCUAGACAGAUGCCUACCCACAAGGUCGUGGGUUAUGUUACAGGUGAGGAACACUGA